This 781-nucleotide ribosomal RNA is filed under the name uncultured Neocallimastigales. Its description in RNAcentral is "partial large subunit ribosomal RNA". It matches the Rfam family "Eukaryotic large subunit ribosomal RNA", at positions 24 to 644 of the family's 3401-position model. Lineage: Eukaryota; Fungi; Neocallimastigomycota; Neocallimastigomycetes; Neocallimastigales. The record is from RNAcentral.
UACGACUACAUAUCAGGCAUAUCAAUAAGCGGAGGAAAAGAAACUAACUAGGAUUCCCUCAGUAACGGCGAGUGAAGCGGGAAGAGCUCAAAUUUGAAAUCUUCAAGGUUUUACCUUGACGAAUUGUAGUUUAAAGAAGUGUUUUCUGUUAGGUGUAGUGGCUAAAAGUUCUUUGGAAUAGGACAUCAUAGAGGGUGAGAAUCCCGUAUUUGGUACCAUUCCUUCCUAGCGUUGUGAUACACUUUCAACGAGUCGGAUUGUUUGGGAAUGCAGUCCAAAAUGGGUGGUAAACUUUCAUCUAAAGCUAAAUAUUGGCGAGAGACCGAUAGCGAACAAGUACCGUGAGGGAAAGAUGAAAAGAACUUUGAAAAGAGAGUUAAACAGUACGUGAAAUUGUCAAAAGGGAAGCGUUUGACACCAGUGUUGUUUUCUCGAAAAUCAAUUAAAAAUAAGCUUGAUUUUGUGUUGUAUUGACCUUAAAAGCUUUCUUCACUUUUUUCAUGCCUUUUUUAAUGCACUUUUCGUUUAACAAGUCAACAUCAGUUUCUUUUGUUGUAAAAAGGUCAUUGGAAGGUGGCUUUCACUUCGGUGAAAGUGUUUAUAGCCAUUGGCUUCUGCAAUCGGAGAGAUUGAGGUCUGCAGCGUAGAUCCUUCGGGGUUAGAUACGUAGAUGCUAAGUUAUAGUUUUUCAUAGACAACUUGUUGACUAUGAUUAAUCAUGUAGCUUACUCGUUUGCGCUAUUUUACCUACGCUUAGGAUGUUGAAUCUGUGCGAGACUAC